RNAcentral lists this ribosomal RNA (373 nucleotides) under uncultured organism. RNAcentral's name for it is "partial 16S ribosomal RNA". It matches the Rfam family "Bacterial small subunit ribosomal RNA", at positions 527 to 896 of the family's 1533-position model. The record is from RNAcentral.
GUAGGUGGCAAGCGUUGUCCGGAAUUAUUGGGCGUAAAGCGCGCGCAGGCGGUUCUUUAAGUCUGAUGUGAAAGCCCACGGCUCAACCGUGGAGGGUCAUUGGAAACUGGAGAACUUGAGUACAGAAGAGGAAAGCGGAAUUCCACGUGUAGCGGUGAAAUGCGUAGAGAUGUGGAGGAACACCAGUGGCGAAGGCGGCUUUCUGGUCUGUAACUGACGCUGAGGCGCGAAAGCGUUGGGAGCAAACAGGAUUAGAUACCCUGGUAGUCCACGCCGUAAACGAUGAGUGCUAAGUGUUAGGGGGGUUUCCGCCCCCCUUAGUGCUGCAGCUAACGCAUUAAGCACUCCGCCUGGGAGUACGGCCGCAAGGCUG